GCCCCCGUAGCUCAGUUAUGGAUAGAGCAAGGGAUUCCUAAUCCCUGUGUCGCUGGUUCGAAUCCAGUCGGGGGCGCCA
Molecule: transfer RNA, 79 nt
Filed under: Deltaproteobacteria bacterium RBG_13_60_28
Lineage: Bacteria; Deltaproteobacteria
Description: tRNA-Arg
Rfam family: tRNA
About the family: Transfer RNA (tRNA) molecules are approximately 80 nucleotides in length. Their secondary structure includes four short double-helical elements and three loops (D, anti-codon, and T loops).
Source: RNAcentral